UACAGAGGAUGCAAGCGUUAUCCGGAAUGAUUGGGCGUAAAGCGUCUGUAGGUGGCUUUUUAAGUCCGCCGUCAAAUCCCAGGGCUCAACCCUGGACAGGCGGUGGAAACUACCAAGCUGGAGUACGGUAGGGGCAGAGGGAAUUUCCGGUGGAGCGGUGAAAUGCGUAGAGAUCGGGAGGAACACCGGCGGCGAAGGCGGCUGCCUGGACCGGCCCUGACGCUGAGGCGCGAAAGCUAGGGGAGCAAACAGG
Molecule: ribosomal RNA, 253 nt
Filed under: uncultured bacterium
Lineage: Bacteria
Description: partial 16S ribosomal RNA
Rfam family: Bacterial small subunit ribosomal RNA
Source: RNAcentral